RNAcentral lists this long non-coding RNA (1536 nucleotides) under Lepidothrix coronata (blue-crowned manakin). RNAcentral describes it as "lncRNA (ENSLCOG00000011221.1)". The record is from RNAcentral. Lineage: Eukaryota; Metazoa; Chordata; Aves; Passeriformes; Pipridae.
GAGCCGCGGAGCGGGGACAGCGACACAGCCGGGUAGGGCUCCAGCGAGCCGCAGCGGCGACAUCGACCGGGUAAGAGCAUCCCAGCUUCCUGCUCGGCCCCCACCCUCGGCCAACCCUUUGUUUCACAGCCUUUUAUUUUAUUUAUUCCGCAGCCCGGCUGUCGGAGGGGCUCUCCCCGCAUCCCCUCCCCGCCGGGGCCGCUGUCCCUUCGUGCCCGGCAGGGAAGGGCUGCGGGUCCUGGAGCGGGGAACAGGCUGUGGGAGCGGCGCGGGGAGGAGACACCGCGGCGAGGAACCUCUGCGGAGGAGGGAGGGUGGGCGGAAAUGCCGCUGCUCAUCACCCGUGCCCCUCUCCUGCCCUGGGUAAGAGGAGCAUCUCCCCUUCAUCCCCCUCUUCAUCCUCCCCCCUUUCCUUCUCGGCGCUUCCAGGCUCUCUGUAUGGAAAUCACGACCUGGCUCGGUGGAAAAAUCUCCCUUUUCUUCACAUAGUGCCUCUGGAAUGUGUGCGGAAUCUCAAGGUUUGGUCCUCUCUCUAACGAUGUCCUUAGGCUGAACUUGCUUUGCAGCUCCUUCACACCAAAGGCAGCUUAAAUCAGCCAAGGAGAAUUUUGAGUCCGACCAACCCCACCCUCCCAAUAGAAGAGAAGAGAUCGACUUCAUGAGUCUUUGGCUUCGCAAUGUGGUGUUUUCAUUUCAUAGCAUCCAGAGGUGCAGUGCACAUGGUCUGAUCUUUAUUUCACCGUGCUCUCUUUCCCUCCCUGCCACGCUCUUUCACCCGAAGAGCAGUACAACUUGGUUUCCUCAACUAGUAUAACCUCUGCUGGCCCUUUUCCACUUUAAAUCUAAUAAGAACAUUCUGAUGUUAUUCACUUCCUAGAAUUAUAGAAUCACAGAAUGGUUUGGUUAGAAGGGACAUUAAAGAUCAUCUCGUUCCAGCCCCCUAACACAAGCAGGGACACCUUCCACUAGACCAGGCUGUUGGUUUUUAACCUAAAGGUUAAAAAAAGUUACUUUAUAAUUACAACACAGAUCUGCAACAGUGGUCAACUCCAAGACCUAAUUGUGGCCACAGUUCACUUUUGGCUCUUAAAAAUCACCCUGAAGCAGAGUUAAAGGGUUGUAGAGGACUAUGGUGCUUUUUGUUCAAUGAUGUUAAUAAUCUAUGGCCUUAGAAUAUGAUAUCACAAAGUCUCAUCCUAGGGCAGAAUAAUGAAAUCACAAGCAAUGGAACGGGCCAGAAACUUAUAUCACUCCCCAAAAUGCUAAAUGCAAACUGGGACCCAAUCUGAACUGAGGAGCUGCACAUCUGAUGUGAGAGGGGAGGGGCACUUCAAGUCCUCCCGUCCUAAAAGCCUCGUGGCCCUGAAUUACAGGCCAUUAGAUUCCUUUGUCCUGUAAAUCUGCGUUAAAUAGCAGCGUGAUUCUGUGUCGGUAAACGCAGGUUUUAACAGCUUAUCCCAUAAUAUUUUGAUUUUUCUUUGCUUCAUCUAUUCAGCCUUUUCACCGUUUUUCUCCCAGGACCUGCUUAUGCUUCCC